ACAACUUUAUAUUGUUGUGUUUCACGCCAUAUUAUCAGACCACCUUAAGUGGGUCCGCCUUAAAUUUUGAGUUUGUGUGAUCGCUGUUGAUUGGUAGCUAAACUGCUGGUAAACUGUGUACAGACGUUUUACGUUCGAAUUGCAGAGAAAAAAAAUUCUGGUUGCAACAUUGUGCAGUAUGAGCGAACCAUUUCACCAAAAAAAGGGGAAGCAAGGCAAGACGUGGCUGCAGCGGUCUGCAGACGUGACUUCUGAUCAAAUUCGAACCUCCUAAAGAAACAAAGAGCGACAUUAUAUUGCGGGAUGACGUCACCUGAAAAUGACCAAUAGCGCGGCGCGCUGCUGAGCUGUGUGCCAACCGCUCUUUUUUUCAUGCAGGAGACUCAAGUUGGCUUCGCUAACGGACACAGUUUUGAACUCGUAUAUUAGCGCCAUUUAUUGCUGCUUGGACCACAGCAUCUUUGGAAUUUGUAGACAUCCUGGCAGCUUACAAUUAGUUCGAGGUGAGGUGAGUACAUGCAACUUCAAGUUAUCUCUGUUAUAAAAAUCCACCAGCCCAGCGUUUAUAGAUAAUUUUAGCAGUUCGUUUUUUAUGAGUGAGGUUGUGAAUUUAGUUAGCAUUUGUGAGUUGAGUUAGCAUUACUGUCGCGAGGGAAGCAUUGCUCUGGAUUAGUUUCUGUGUUUGGCGUGCUUAAUUCGCUAGGGAGGAAUUACCAAAGUACAUGGAGUUAUGUUAACCUGUAAUUUCUGUGGUAAGGUAGUUCAGUCAUCAAGGGGCUACGUGCUUCAUUGUAAACUGCAUCGGAAUGAGCCACGUUGUUUCUUUCGGUGUAUUGAAGCAGGCUGCAAGCAGACAUACACCAGACACUGAAUUUGAGCAGAAACCAUAAGGAUACUCAAAGGACCUGUGACUCUCAGGAAAUGCAUCAAAUGAGAGGGACAGAUGAAACAGUUUCAAGACAAUGGCAGGAAAAACAUGCUGAAGAUUGAAACAAACCUUGGCUGGAAAUAUUUGAAAGUAUCUAGCCAGUCCACAAUGAAAGCUUCGUUGCACCCCAUGAGUCUUCUGGCAGAAAUGAUGGCGCCUGUAUUCUUUGGUUUCCCUAAACAUCACACCCUGCCUGUUUAUACGAGGCUCUUCAAUUAAGUCUGCACCCAAAGAUUCAAUAAGAGAGGGGAUCCUGCCAGUCCAAAGUGAACUCCUGAUGGACA
Oreochromis niloticus (Nile tilapia) is the source of this 1212-nucleotide long non-coding RNA. RefSeq lists it as uncharacterized. The transcript has 5 exons. The record is from RefSeq and is a predicted model, not a curated record. NCBI's taxonomy places the organism in Eukaryota, Metazoa, Chordata, Actinopteri, Cichliformes, Cichlidae.